This 1839-nucleotide long non-coding RNA is filed under the name Zostera marina. RNAcentral describes it as "long non-coding RNA (ZMAR_LNC003142)". The record is from RNAcentral. Lineage: Eukaryota; Viridiplantae; Streptophyta; Magnoliopsida; Alismatales; Zosteraceae.
UUGAAUUAAUCAAGAGUUAAUUACAAUUAGUCUUUAUAAGAAUUUUACUAACAAUAUUACAUAACUAACUCUAUUAAUAUUUAGUCCAACACUAUAAGCAAUGACUCUGGUCCGUAUAUAAUUGGCUCGUUAUCUAUGAUUGAAUUUUAUUGAAACUAUUGCGCAUUAGCCCUCCAGUUUCUUUUAUAUCCGAAACUCAAGUGUUGGGUAAAUUACUUGAACAGUAAACACUUAACAAUAAACUAAGUUCAGUUUAAUUAAAUUUACUAUCAGUUUAUUAAUUCUUUGAUUACUGUUUUAGUUCAAUUAAAACCUUUACUUCCGAGAUGUAGAAAUUAACAUCAUCAAGCUUUAUCGUAUGUAGAUAUAUGCUUAAUUUUAACAAACUUCUGUUUCUCAGAUUUUGCAACGAUUUGGGGAACUGGUGGCUCCGCCAUUGCCACGUUGAUAUGGAACAGGAAGUAGAAGAUGGAGGUAGAUGACUCCAACGAGAAAAAUCCUUAAGAUGGAAGCGCAUGGCCACAUGAUCUAGAGCUUCAGAUGCUCCUUAAGUAUCUGUUGUUAGUAUGAAUAAAGAAAGAAUUAAUUAGUUCAAUUAGUCAUCUUGUAUCUUUAAUUUUUAGUAUAAGUUUUAAAUUCUGUUUUGACUUUAUAUUAUUAAUGCAAUAUGUUGAAUGUAAAAAUACAAUCUAUUGAUCUAAUAGGAGCUAAUUCAAAAGAAAAUGGCUGAUUAAGGCUUAAGGAACUAAUUCAAUACAGGCUUCGUUUUGGGGAAAUCACGAUUUUGCUAGGGUUUAUAGAAUCCAAAACAAUACGUUUUAUGUAAGGAAUUUAUCAAAAGUACUCACCUAAGGUUAUUUUGGAGUUAAAAAUAACCAUCUAUAAUUUUUUAACCAUUUUAACCUUACAAUUAAAUCAAAUUUUUAAAAUAAAAACGAGAUUUUUUUGGGGGCAGAAAAACCCAAAACCCAUCGUCCAAAACGAUGGCUGGAUGCCAUCUAAGCAACAUCGCGGAUGGCAGGCUCAUUAUCAGGCUUCUCCGCAUCACUGCCGUUGAGGCCGUCGGCGCUCCAUCUUCCGCCUCACCUCCACGGGACCCCUCUUCGCGGGUUCCUCUCCAUGGGAAUAAAGAGGACGCCGCGCAAUCAUGAGAAUGGAGAUGGCAGGGGUGGUGCGAGGCGAGCCACAGUUAUCCAAGGCACGCUCAUGCCAAAUCCAAAUCAAACCCUUCUUCUUCUUCUUCAAACAAGGUUGCAGAAGUCAGUUCAAAAUUAGGCAGGGCCGGCAUGGUUAGGGUUGGGAAAUCAAUCUUCUGAAACACCUCCAACUUCCAAGACAGAAUCUUAAUUCUUAUAUAUACUUCAAAUAAAGCUGAUUUAAUUUCCAGAACACAUCUAUAAAUCCAAACCAAUCCCAGAAGAAUCAAACCCCGAAACAAAUCACUCCAUCAAGAAACAACAAAAACAUUAAAACAACUUUGAAAAGAGGUGGAAGACUUACAUAGCCAAGAAGAAGAAGAAGAAACCAGUCAACGACUCCACUCCCAAUCGGAAAAUCUGAAAUCUCCGUCCAAACCUAAUCUCUGUCGACUCUGAAAUCACAUAUCUCUCUGUUUCGACUACUCCUCAAUGAACACUCACUCGAAACGGGUUACCCAGUUUGGGUCACACCGACGGGUAUUAAUUCAAUUCUGUGACAGUUUGGGUCACUCGAAACGGCUUGGUGGUUGAUUUUUACCACAAAACCAUUAAGUGGGCCCUUCUGUGUCUAUCAGUCGUAAACCAAUUCAAUUCACUCAAUUGAUACUCCAUUAACAUGAUGGAUGACACAAGAGUGCAG